CGAAAGUCUGACGGAGCAACGCCGCGUGAGUGAUGAAGGAUUUCGGUCUGUAAAGCUCUGUUGUUUAUGACGAACGUGCAGUGUGUGAAACAAUGCAUUGCAAUGACGGUAGUAAACGAGGAAGCCACGGCUAACUACGUGCC
This 143-nucleotide ribosomal RNA is filed under the name uncultured bacterium. RNAcentral's name for it is "partial 16S ribosomal RNA". It matches the Rfam family "Bacterial small subunit ribosomal RNA", at positions 376 to 509 of the family's 1533-position model. The record is from RNAcentral.